GCACUAAUUAAAUAAAUUAAUUUUAUUUUAUAUAUCAUUAUAAUAAAAAUAAAUUAUAAAGAUUUAUUUAAAAUUUAUUUUGAUAAAAAAAAUUAAAUCAAGAUAUAGAAUAAUUAAUAUAUAAUGAAUUAUUUUAAAUAAAAUUUAAUUUAAUAAAAUGAAAUAUUUAUUAUAUUAAAAUUUUAAAGUAAAAUUAAAUAAAUAUUUAAAUUGAAUUAAUUUAUUAUUAUGUACAAAUUGCCCGUCACUUUUAAAUAAAAAAUAAGUCGUAACAAAGUAAAUAUAUUGGAAAAUGUAUUUUUAA
RNAcentral lists this ribosomal RNA (304 nucleotides) under Ferrisia gilli. Its description in RNAcentral is "partial small subunit ribosomal RNA". The record is from RNAcentral. Lineage: Eukaryota; Metazoa; Arthropoda; Insecta; Hemiptera; Pseudococcidae.